Molecule: long non-coding RNA, 252 nt
Filed under: Pelobates cultripes (western spadefoot toad)
Lineage: Eukaryota; Metazoa; Chordata; Amphibia; Anura; Pelobatidae
Source: RNAcentral
CGGAUACAUAAAACAUAAUAUAGGAUGUUACAGGAUAAUGGACAUUUAACAGCAGAUGGUAAUUGCUGUACUUCUGAUGGGAGAGUUACAUCGUUGUACAGAGCCAAGCCAAGAGUGAGACUAGACUGAGCGCGACCUCGUGUCCCUCUGUUACUAUAUAGAAGUGCUAAUAGUAACGUCAGCAUAUAACUCUAGCCAUAUAAGGACAAAACCCCCACAUCCACAUUCCAGAGCUCUCGGACAAAGAAAGCC